UCUACGGGAGGCUGCAGUGAGGAAUAUUGGUCAAUGGACGAGAGUCUGAACCAGCCAAGUAGCGUGAAGGAUGACUGCCCUAUGGGUUGUAAACUUCUUUUAUAAAGGAAUAAAACGAGGCACGUGUGCCUUUUUGUAUGUACUUUAUGAAUAAGGAUCGGCUAACUCCGUGCCAGCAGCCGCGGUAAUACGGAGGAUCCGAGCGUUAUCCGGAUUUAUUGGGUUUAAAUGGAGCGUAGAUGGGUUGUUAAGUCAGUUGUGAAAGUUUGCGGCUCAACCGUAAAAUUGCAAUUGAUACUGGCAGUCGUGAGUACAGUUGAGGUAGGCGGAAUUCGUGGUGUAGCGGUGAAAUGCUUAGAUAUCACGAAGAACCCCGAUUGCGAAGGCAGCUUACUAAACUGUGACUGACAUUGAUGCUCGAAAGUGUGGGUAUCAAACAGGAUUAGAUACCCGGGUAGUC
This 460-nucleotide ribosomal RNA is filed under the name uncultured bacterium. RNAcentral's name for it is "partial 16S ribosomal RNA". It matches the Rfam family "Bacterial small subunit ribosomal RNA", at positions 338 to 795 of the family's 1533-position model. The record is from RNAcentral.